GUCAAUUUUUAUAAGAAAUUUGAGAUUUUAAUUUAAAAAAUAUUUUAAAAUAGUAAAAAUAUUAUUAUAAAGGUAUAUAUACAGAAAUUUGAAAUAUAUUUAAUUUAUCAAGCAAAACUUGCCUGAGAACUGCCCAAAAAACUGCUGAAUAUGGCAAGUUGAGUAUGUUUUAUAAUUUUCAUUUGAUAAAAAAGUAAUAGAAUUAAUAUUUUAUUGUUUUUUUUAUUUCCUAAUGUUUUUGAGAAAAAUGCCUUGUUAAUUCUUAAUGAAACAUCCUGUAUACUCUCACAUAUCAUGUACUGUAUCAGAUUUGAUUAAAUCAUAAGAAUCUGAAUUCUUUCUAAAUUAAUAAAAAUUUACUUUGGAAACAUUAAAUUUUCAAGCAUUUUAUAUAAUUCAUAGAAAUAAAUUUCAUUAAAUGAAUUUUAAAAAAUCUAAUAAUUUUUUCCUAAGAAAGAUUAAUGAUGAUCUAAGAUAGCAAUUCUUAACCAUUUUUCUUCUAUGGACCCUCAUUACUAGAAGCCUUAGAGCUAUAAAAAAAUAAGGCCUAAACUUGAAUCUAAAAAUAUAUAAAAAAUUCACAGCAAAUAAAUACACGUUGUGAAAUAUUUAAUUCACAAACGAAAAAAAUAUACAAAACUUGAUAUUUUAAUUUUAAUGAGAAGAUAAUUUUAAUAAUCAGCAUCUUUUUUAAUAUUUGAUUUUAUUUCUGAGAGUUGAAUUCUGAAGACAAAUUCUUCAUUACUUAAACAGAAAAAUAGUUCUGGUAAGAAUUAUUAUUCAAUUUCUUAAAUAGUCAGGAACAUUUAACAUUGCAGAUUCCUUGGUUUCACAGACUACAAGUUAAGAACUGCUGAUUUGAGAACUCAUGAACAGGAAUCUUAACAAAUAAUGAAAAUAAUGAAAAUUACAAAUUAUUUACUAAAAGAAUAAAAUUUUAAGUAUGAAAAAUAAGUUUUGGAUUAUCCAUGUUUUUCAAUUAUUUAUUUUUUUCUCAUUAUAAGCGUGUUAAUUAUAUGUUUAUUAUUAAUAAAGAGAUCAUUCCUAUAAUAUCGUUUAGUCUUUUAUAGCAUUUCUGGGUUUAUUUUUGUAAUAUGAAAUGAUUUAAACUAAAAACAAAUUUUUUCAUGGCUAAGUCCUUUAGCACUAAUGAGCAGACCAAACACCUCUGCAACACAAUAAAAGAACUAUUUAUUGAGUAACGUUUUUGGUUAACAUGUUAAAUGUAUGAGCUGUUGAGGACUAAAAUGCCCUCAUCAGCUCAUACAUUUAACUGAAAAAAACUACUGUCGAACAUAGAACACAGACAUUAAAAACGAACUGGAAUACAAACUAAUUAGAAUGCUAGCUGUUUACAUUAUUUAAAAAUUUUUUCUAGUAAUUCCUAAAAGGAUUUAAAAUACAGAGCAAUAAUGAAUUUCUCUAAGGAGCUCUCUAUUUGCCCUUUACUAAUUUUUUCUCUUUCUACUUUAUCACUUUCCUUCAAAGCUAGAUGCAGUCUCCACUAGCUCCACCUAUCUUUCACUCCGAUCUUAGCUUAUUAAUUCCUUACACUUCUUCCUUUUGCAAUAUAUUUCCAUGAUAGUGGGAGAUCCACUGAUUGCUUUUCGUUGAUUAUUUCUCCAUCUCUUUUUCUUUCCAAGAUUCUUAGCCCUUCUGCUACAUACAAUUCCCUCGUAUCUCUUACCUUCUUAACUAUUUUCACUUUGUCUCAAUUUAUUUGAAUGUCAUACUCGUAGGCCCUCCUAGCAAGGGCUGUCAUUUUCUGGCCUCUCUCUAUAUCUUGUUUUAUGUUCUUUUAGUCUAUCCCUCAGGUUUCUGGCUGUAGUGCCUACAUAUACUUCCUUAGUUUGUCUAGUUACAUUGAUGAGGGGAACUUCAUAUACUCUGGACUGUUCCUGUGUGCUGUAUCUAUCUUUCACAUUUUUGAGUAAAUUAGUAAUUGUGCUUGUCCUUCUAUAAGAAAGAGUUUUCUUUCACUGCUUAAGGACUUUCUGCACUGUGCAUAACCCUCCAAGUUCAUCUGUAACCACUUUGUACUUCUCUUUUUUUAUCUAAUGUAUGAUCUUGCCUUCCCUUUCUUGCCUGUUGCUAUCUCCUUUUUCUUUGCUCUGCCUAAUAUCUUUAAGAGUUUUGUCUACAAUGCUUCCUGUGUAUCCAUGCCUCCAUGCUAUUUCUUUUAUCUUUCCAACUUCUAUGUGCAGGAGAUUUUCCGUACUGCAAUGGGUGAGGGCCCUUUCUAGGUAUGAUUUAAUAGCAUUUAAUAGUAAAUAAGACAGAAAUAUACAAUAAUUUGUUUUUAGAUUAUUUUCUAACUGUUUGUUUAAAUUUUUAAACUAAAUUUCAUUAUUAAUAAAAUAAGAUUUCAAAAUCAAUAGAAUUAAUAAAUAGAAGAAAAUUUAUAAAAUAUAAGAGUGCAGUGUAUACAUAAGAUAAUCUUGCAUUUAAUCUUCUUAUUGCUUUAGAAUAUAAU
Molecule: long non-coding RNA, 2473 nt
Filed under: Androctonus crassicauda
Lineage: Eukaryota; Metazoa; Arthropoda; Arachnida; Scorpiones; Buthidae
Source: RNAcentral